GACGAACGCUGGCGGCGUGCCUAAUACAUGCAAGUAGAACGCUGAAGGAGGAGCUUGCUUCUCUGGAUGAGUUGCGAACGGGUGAGUAACGCGUAGGUAACCUGCCUGGUAGCGGGGGAUAACUAUUGGAAACGAUAGCUAAUACCGCAUAAUAGUAGAUGUUGCAUGACAUUUGCUUAAAAGGUGCAAUUGCAUCACUACCAGAUGGACCUGCGUUGUAUUAGCUAGUUGGUGGGGUAACGGCUCACCAAGGCGACGAUACAUAGCUGACCUGAGAGGGUGAUCGGCCACACUGGGACUGAGACACGGCCCAGACUCCUACGGGAGGCAGCAGUAGGGAAUCUUCGGCAAUGGACGGAAGUCUGACCGAGCAACGCCGCGUGAGUGAAGAAGGUUUUCGGAUCGUAAAGCUCUGUUGUAAGAGAAGAACGAGUGUGAGAGUGGAAAGUUCACACUGUGACGGUAUCUUACCAGAAAGGGACGGCUAACUACGUG
RNAcentral lists this ribosomal RNA (495 nucleotides) under uncultured bacterium. RNAcentral's name for it is "partial 16S ribosomal RNA". It matches the Rfam family "Bacterial small subunit ribosomal RNA", at positions 28 to 507 of the family's 1533-position model. The record is from RNAcentral.